CAGGUCCGAAGAGGGAAAACGGUAGGGAGCCUGCCUGGGCGACGACCCGGAUGUCAAUGAAAAGGAAGUGACGUUUCUGAGCGACGACCUAAGGAAGGAAAUCGGGCGCUUUGGGAGUCCCCAGAUAGCAGGCCUACGGUCACUAAGAAGUGAUGCCCUCCCUGAAUAUCCUGGUUCCAUUUCACAGGACGGACCCAUGGGGACCAUGACUGUUCACCUCUGUAUCACUUAGCCAGGGCUCUCAGUGUUGAAUUAAUUUCAUAUAAGAGCUGGACAACACCUUAGAGAUCAAAAAUCUCUCCGUGCCUCAGUUUCCUCAUCUGUAAAAUGAGAGGAUUGGACUUGAUGGCCUAUAAAGGUCCCUUCCUGCUUUAAAUCUAUGUUCCUGUGAUGAACACCAAUUAAGGUCCUCCAGAGCAGGGAUUCUGUGUCACUUUUUAUAUUUAUGCCCUCAGCACUUAACAACUUAACCUGGAAUUUAGGUGCCAGAGGGAUAGGGACUGGACCUGUGAUUUCAUUGAAAUAUCAAAUUGGUAUAUCCUUCCAGAGGAGGGAAUUCCAUCUGCAAAUGCAAGUUGACACCUUCUCUGCAACUUAAGGUUUUAGAGUUGCCUAGAGCACUGGAGAGGUUGAGUGACUUGUGUUCAGGGUCAAAUCACCAGUAAGUGUCAAGGCUGGGACUUGAAGCCAAGUCUUUUUGGCUCAGAGGCUCACUCUGUUCACUCUUUGCCCCGAACAAAAAUGCUUAUUAACAUUUAAUAAUGGGCGCUUCCUCAUGGGCCUUUUGGGCCUUAAUUGCCACCUCCAUAAAAUGAAGAGUUUAGAAUAAUUGAACUAGAUGGUUUCUAAAGUUCCCUAGCAGCUCUGACAUUUUUGGUUAUAUUUCCUAAGAUGCCUUCUUUCUCUGACAGCCUGUGACUUGAAGCACAAUUUUACUACUUUACAUGCUAAUUAAGGGUUAAACUUUUUUGUAUCCUUGAUUUUACAUUGCAUUAUUGUUGAUUGUAUUUGGUUUUAUUUUAGUGUCUUCCAAUCUAUGGGCCUUGGGUCCCAGGUUAGGGCGUGGGAGUCAUGGAGUUAUUGCAAGAGGUUCACUUUAUUGCUUAAAUAAGAAAAUGGAAAAUUAAUAAAUAACAAGCAAUCUGUUUCAUACA
Phascolarctos cinereus (koala) is the source of this 1154-nucleotide long non-coding RNA. RefSeq lists it as uncharacterized. The record is from RefSeq and is a predicted model, not a curated record. Lineage: Eukaryota; Metazoa; Chordata; Mammalia; Diprotodontia; Phascolarctidae.